CCUACGGGAGGCUGCAGUGGGGAAUAUUGGACAAUGGGCGAAAGCCUGAUCCAGCCAUGCCGCGUGUGUGAAGAAGGCCUUCGGGUUGUAAAGCACUUUCAGUGGGGAAGAAAGCCUUGGGGCUAAUACCCUCGAGGAAGGACAUCACCCACAGAAGAAGCACCGGCUAACUCCGUGCCAGCAGCCGCGGUAAUACGGAGGGUGCGAGCGUUAAUCGGAAUUACUGGGCGUAAAGCGCGCGUAGGCGGUCUGAUAAGCCGGUUGUGAAAGCCCCGGGCUCAACCUGGGAACGGCAUCCGGAACUGUCAGGCUAGAGUGCAGGAGAGGAAGGUAGAAUUCCCGGUGUAGCGGUGAAAUGCGUAGAGAUCGGGAGGAAUACCAGUGGCGAAGGCGGCCUUCUGGACUGACACUGACGCUGAGGUGCGAAAGCGUGGGUAGCAAACAGGAGUAGAUACCCUGGUAGUC
This 465-nucleotide ribosomal RNA is filed under the name Vreelandella stevensii. RNAcentral describes it as "partial 16S ribosomal RNA". It matches the Rfam family "Bacterial small subunit ribosomal RNA", at positions 338 to 795 of the family's 1533-position model. The record is from RNAcentral. Lineage: Bacteria; Pseudomonadati; Pseudomonadota; Gammaproteobacteria; Oceanospirillales; Halomonadaceae.